Molecule: ribosomal RNA, 465 nt
Filed under: uncultured Klebsiella sp.
Lineage: Bacteria; Pseudomonadati; Pseudomonadota; Gammaproteobacteria; Enterobacterales; Enterobacteriaceae
Description: bacterial SSU rRNA
Rfam family: Bacterial small subunit ribosomal RNA
Source: RNAcentral
CCUACGGGUGGCAGCAGUGGGGAAUAUUGCACAAUGGGCGCAAGCCUGAUGCAGCCAUGCCGCGUGUGUGAAGAAGGCCUUCGGGUUGUAAAGCACUUUCAGCGGGGAGGAAGGCGUUAAGGUUAAUAACCUUGUCGAUUGACGUUACCCGCAGAAGAAGCACCGGCUAACUCCGUGCCAGCAGCCGCGGUAAUACGGAGGGUGCAAGCGUUAAUCGGAAUUACUGGGCGUAAAGCGCACGCAGGCGGUCUGUCAAGUCGGAUGUGAAAUCCCCGGGCUCAACCAGGGAACUGCAUUCGAAACUGGCAGGCUAGAGUCUUGUAGAGGGGGGUAGAAUUCCAGGUGUAGCGGUGAAAUGCGUAGAGAUCUGGAGGAAUACCGGUGGCGAAGGCGGCCCCCUGGACAAAGACUGACGCUCAGGUGCGAAAGCGUGGGGAGCAAACAGGAUUAGAUACCCUUGUAGUC